CGGAGGUGGCAAGCGUUGCUCGGAUUCAUUGGGUGUAAAGGGUCGGUAGGCGGUUUCAUAAGUGCUUGGUGAAAUCCCGCAGCUUAACUGCGGAACGCCCAGGUAGACUGUGAGACUUGAGGGCUGGAGAGGCAGACGGAAUUCCCGGUGUAAGGGUGAAAUCUGUAGAUAUCGGGAGGAACACCAGAGGCGAAGGCGGUCUGCUGGACAGCAUCUGACGCUGAGCGACGAAAGCGUGGGGAGCAAACAGGAUUAGAUACCCUGGUAGUCCACGCUGUAAACGUUGAGGACUAGGUGUUGGCUCAAUUAGAGUCGGUGCCGCAGGUAACCCAUUAAGUCCUCCACCUGGGGAGUACGUCCGCAAGGAUG
RNAcentral lists this ribosomal RNA (369 nucleotides) under uncultured organism. RNAcentral describes it as "bacterial SSU rRNA". It matches the Rfam family "Bacterial small subunit ribosomal RNA", at positions 526 to 896 of the family's 1533-position model. The record is from RNAcentral.